AGGGUGUAGCUUAGAGGUAAAAACAUAUGUUUAGCAUGCAUACAGUCCUGGGUUCAAUACCCAGUCCUCCUA
RNAcentral lists this transfer RNA (72 nucleotides) under Marmota monax (woodchuck). It matches the Rfam family "tRNA". From Rfam's summary of the family: Transfer RNA (tRNA) molecules are approximately 80 nucleotides in length. Their secondary structure includes four short double-helical elements and three loops (D, anti-codon, and T loops). Lineage: Eukaryota; Metazoa; Chordata; Mammalia; Rodentia; Sciuridae. The record is from Rfam by way of RNAcentral.